GGGCUACGAACGAGUCCUUCAACUUUCACCAUCACCGUCGCGAUUCACUGCAUGCCGCCGGAGAUUGUCAUUUCCGCACGCCAGAAGGAGACCGUCGCCGUCGCCGCGUGCUGCACGCCGCCAAAGAAGGAGACUGUCGCCGUCACAGCAAUUCUGAAGCAGACGCCAUCGUCGAAAUCGGAGCACGCUACGCACCUCGCUGUUGACAACGCUGAAUCAGGCAUUGUCGCACGCCAAAUCAGGGGCGUUUGCACACCGUCACCAAGGCUGAAUCAUCGUACCACAGGGCUUCCCCUUUGACGUGAACGAUGAGUUCUGGGAGUUUUCUUCUAUCCGAACGCCCAGCCUGGUCGGCGUCAGCUCGCCGACGCUUAAGGUGGCAGGGAAGGUUUGUUCCCCCUCCGAUGGCCUUACCGUCGGCGAGGAAUGUUGUCGAGGCUGGUUUCGGGGUACAGUCGCAUGUGCA
Molecule: long non-coding RNA, 466 nt
Organism: Malania oleifera
Lineage: Eukaryota; Viridiplantae; Streptophyta; Magnoliopsida; Santalales; Ximeniaceae
Exons: 2
Source: RefSeq, a predicted model, not a curated record